GUGCUUGCUUCGGCAGCACAUAUACUAAAAUUGAAACGAUACAGAGAAGAUUAGCACGGCCCCUGCACAAGGAUGACACGCAAAUUCGUGAAGCAUUCCAUAUUUUU
Molecule: small nuclear RNA, 107 nt
Filed under: Saimiri boliviensis boliviensis (Bolivian squirrel monkey)
Lineage: Eukaryota; Metazoa; Chordata; Mammalia; Primates; Cebidae
Source: RNAcentral